AUUGAACGCUGGCGGCAGGCCUAACACAUGCAAGUCGAGCGGAUGAAGGGAGCUUGCUCCUGGAUUCAGCGGCGGACGGGUGAGUAAUGCCUAGGAAUCUGCCUGGUAGUGGGGGAUAACGUCCGGAGACGGGCGCUAAUACCGCAUACGUCCUGAGGGAGAAAGUGGGGGAUCUUCGGACCUCACGCUAUCAGAUGAGCCUAGGUCGGAUUAGCUAGUUGGUGGGGUAAAGGCCUACCAAGGCGACGAUCCGUAACUGGUCUGAGAGGAUGAUCAGUCUCACUGGAACUGAGACACGGUCCAGACUCCUACGGGAGGCAGCAGUGGGGAAUAUUGGACAAUGGGCGAAAGCCUGAUCCAGCCAUGCCGCGUGUGUGAAGAAGGUCUUCGGAUUGUAAAGCACUUUAAGUUGGGAGGAAGGGCAGUAAGUUAAUACCUUGCUGUUUUGACGUUACCAACAGAAUAAGCACCGGCUAACUUCGUG
Molecule: ribosomal RNA, 484 nt
Filed under: uncultured bacterium
Lineage: Bacteria
Description: partial 16S ribosomal RNA
Rfam family: Bacterial small subunit ribosomal RNA
Source: RNAcentral